CUGGCGGCGUGCCUAACACAUGCAAGUCGAGCGGGGACAUGCGACGGAGUCAAAGUUUUCGGAUGGAGACGAAGAUGUAUGUUCUAGCGGCGGACGGGUGAGUAACGCGUGAGCAACCUGUCCUUCACGAGGGGGAUAACACAGCGAAAGUUGUACUAAUACCGCAUAAGACCACAGGGAGACAUCUUCCAGGGGUCAAAGGAGCAAUCCGGUGAAGGGUGGGCUCGCGUCCGAUUAGAUAGUUGGUGAGGUAACGGCCCACCAAGUCGACGAUCGGUAGCCGACCUGAGAGGGUGAUCGGCCACAUUGGGACUGAGACACGGCCCAAACUCC
Molecule: ribosomal RNA, 333 nt
Filed under: uncultured Coriobacteriales bacterium
Lineage: Bacteria; Bacillati; Actinomycetota; Coriobacteriia; Coriobacteriales
Description: bacterial SSU rRNA
Rfam family: Bacterial small subunit ribosomal RNA
Source: RNAcentral